Molecule: ribosomal RNA, 253 nt
Filed under: uncultured bacterium
Lineage: Bacteria
Description: partial 16S ribosomal RNA
Rfam family: Bacterial small subunit ribosomal RNA
Source: RNAcentral
UACAGAGGGUGCGAGCGUUAAUCGGAAUUACUGGGCGUAAAGCGUGCGUAGACGGCUAUCUAAGUCGGGUGUGAAAGCCCCGGGCUCAACCUGGGAAUUGCAUUCGAGACUGAAUAGCUAGGGUACGGUAGAGGGAAGUGGAAUUUCCGGUGUAGCGGUGAAAUGCGUAGAUAUCGGAAGGAACAUCAGUGGCGAAGGCGGCCACCUGGACGGUAACUGACGCUGAGACGCGAAAGCGUGGGGAGCAAACAGG